CUUGAGCGAGCCCAGCAGCAGCGGCCCGCGCCCGCCGCGGGCGCGGCCGUAGGUCUCCAGCAGCGCCUGGGCCUC
Molecule: antisense RNA, 75 nt
Filed under: Actinokineospora bangkokensis
Lineage: Bacteria; Bacillati; Actinomycetota; Actinomycetes; Pseudonocardiales; Pseudonocardiaceae
Description: ASpks TB sRNA
Rfam family: ASpks TB sRNA
Source: Rfam by way of RNAcentral